GUCCACGCCGUAAACGAUGGAUGCUAGCCGUUGGUAAGCAUGCUUAUCAGUGGCGCAGCUAACGCAUUAAGCGUCCCGCCUGGGGAGUACGGCCGCAAGGUUGAAACUCAAAGGAAUUGACGGGGGCCCCGCACAAGCGGUGGAGCAUGUGGUUUAAUUCACGCAACGCGCAGAACCUUACCAGGGUUUGACAUCCCGCGCUAAACCCAGAGAUGGGUGGUCCCCGCAAGGGGCGCGGAGACAGGUGCUGCAUGGCUGUCGU
This 262-nucleotide ribosomal RNA is filed under the name uncultured bacterium. Its description in RNAcentral is "partial 16S ribosomal RNA". It matches the Rfam family "Bacterial small subunit ribosomal RNA", at positions 793 to 1055 of the family's 1533-position model. The record is from RNAcentral.